AUUGAACGCUGGCGGCAGGCCUAACACAUGCAAGUCGAGCGGAUGAAGGGAGCUUGCUCCUGGAUUCAGCGGCGGACGGGUGAGUAAUGCCUAGGAAUCUGCCUGGUAGUGGGGGAUAACGUCCGGAAACGGGCGCUAAUACCGCAUACGUCCUGAGGGAGAAAGUGGGGGAUCUUCGGACCUCACGCUAUCAGAUGAGCCUAGGUCGGAUUAGCUAGUUGGUGGGGUAAAGGCCUACCAAGGCGACGAUCUGUAACUGGUCUGAGAGGAUGAUCAGUCACACUAGAACUGAGACACGGUCCAGACUCCUACGGGAGGCAGCAGUGGGGAAUAUUGGACAAUGGGCGAAAGCCUGAUCCAGCCAUGCCGCGUGUGUGAAGAAGGUCUUCGGAUUGUAAAGCACUUUAAGUUGGGAGGAAGGGCAGUAAGUUAAUACCUUGCUGUUUUGACGUUACCAACAGAAUAAGCACCGGCUAACUUCGUG
This 484-nucleotide ribosomal RNA is filed under the name uncultured bacterium. RNAcentral describes it as "partial 16S ribosomal RNA". It matches the Rfam family "Bacterial small subunit ribosomal RNA", at positions 30 to 507 of the family's 1533-position model. The record is from RNAcentral.